GCGUAAACAGGAUGCUGGUAACAGGUAAAUCACGUACACCACCUAUCUAGCAUGUGUGGAUAAAAUGGGCCAGGUUGAAAUGAUCAAAACCGUUCCGAUGGCAACGUCAAUGUCAGUGAAUGUAAAUAUGGCGUCGCUGCUCGGCUCGCAGAUGACAAGCAUCCGCAACAUCCGGUUCACAUACAUCUCGCAAUUAUGACGUGGAAGGCAGGUGAAGUCUAAAAAUGGAGACCUGGCAUCUUCCAAAGAAAACAGAUUGAAAACCAGUUUACGCCGGAACCAAAAAAUCCUCUGAAAGUUUCACCACCUACUGUCAUAAAAGAAAGUCCAGGUUUCAAAGCUCUCCCACCAAGUGGUUCAAGGACUGCGGUAGUUAAGCCUAUGACUCCAUAUUGUCAUGCAACAGUGACCGAUACGCCAGACCAGUUAAAACAUUUUCUCGAGUCAAAUUGCAAUGAGCUUGUGGAAAGCUUAAUUCAGGUUUUUAACCUAAAUACGAUGACUUUGCUAAAGUUUAAGAAAAUGAGGGAUGAAAACUGGGUUCCCCAUGAAUAUAAUUGUUUGAAGUGAUAUAUAUCUAACACUCGUUUCUAGACUUGUGCGUCUUAACAUGUAUAAUUUGAAUGGUAUAAUAACUCUGGUGUUACACUAUUAGUCUCUUUAAUUAUGUGUGACUUUCGCAUCUGUUGAAAGUGUAAUUUGUUUAAAAUUAGUAUAAAUGAGUUGAAUAACUAUACAGAUAUAACUAAUUGUCUGUUUCAAAUCAAUUUAGACAAUCAACGAAUACUUUGCAUAAAAUACAAUUAAUACUAAUGACACUAACAACUUGAAUUCGUCGCCUUCUAUUUAAACGAUUGAUUGUGUUUGUAUUAUACAUGUAGACGACUUACGACAUACAAUAUUGAACAUAAAACGCAAUGAAAUUUGCGGCUUGUUCAACAAUAAAGCUUGCGACUUGUUCAAUAA
This is a long non-coding RNA of Dreissena polymorpha, 966 nucleotides long. RefSeq lists it as uncharacterized. The record is from RefSeq and is a predicted model, not a curated record. NCBI's taxonomy places the organism in Eukaryota, Metazoa, Mollusca, Bivalvia, Myida, Dreissenidae. The transcript is spliced from 3 exons.